GAGCGGAGGGCGCAUAUGAAUCGUAGAUUCAUAUUUAGGAUGCGCCCGACAAUCUGCCGACGAGCGAAGCGAGGGGGCAAUACCCGGG
Molecule: non-coding RNA, 88 nt
Submitted as: unclassified sequences
Source: Rfam